This 72-nucleotide transfer RNA is filed under the name Toxocara canis (dog roundworm). It matches the Rfam family "tRNA". From Rfam's summary of the family: Transfer RNA (tRNA) molecules are approximately 80 nucleotides in length. Lineage: Eukaryota; Metazoa; Nematoda; Chromadorea; Rhabditida; Toxocaridae. The record is from Rfam by way of RNAcentral.
AGGGCAGUAGCUCAGUAGUAGAGCUACCGAUUCAUAUGCGGGAAGAUCUGGGUUCGAUCCCCGGCUGCUUCC